ACCCCCUUGAGCUCUCUUUCUUCUAUAACGAUUAACAUAGACAAAUAUCAAUUUAAUUGUCUCAUGAUAUUUGAACAUAAGAAUGUAAGCUGAUUUUCAAUGCUUGAUUCUUUACUUUCUUAACUCAUAUUCAGGUUCUAGCUCAAAUCGUUUCAGCCUAUUUGCUGACAUAUCUCAGCACAGUCUCAUAAUUCCAGCUUAUUCAUGAAUAAUUCAGACUUGAUUUCGAGUAAUGGAUCAAUACUUCACUUUCAUCCCGCAUUCUAAGCUUAAACAACAAAAUUUCUCAUUCAUUUAUUGCAAUAAUUCAAGAUAAUUUCAAGUAAAUAGGCAGCAGCCCUCUAUAUUUCAGAUUAAGGCUUAGAAUUCUCAUGUUUAAUUCACCAAAGCAUCCAACUAAAUAUAAAUUUGCCAAAUCUCAAUUUAAACCUAGUUUGGGAAUUGAGUUCUUACCUUAAUUAACUGGAAUUCUGCUACUAAUCAGUGUUUUCUUCUUUUCUCUUCAAAAUUUAGCAACCCCCAUACUCUUCCAAGCCAAUUUUCCAUAAGACCUUUCUUCCUAGCUGAGUUCCUUCCAGGUUCUAUAUGAAAAUCUCCUUCUCUCCCUCUCUUUCUCCCCCUUUCUACGUUUUGAAUAGGCUAAGGAAUGAGUUUUGCAGGAAGAAAUCGGUGGAUAAAUCUCAAAAGGAAUAGUUUAAUGCCGGUGCUUGCUAGGUGUCAUCCCAUGAUAAAUCUACAUUUAAUGAGCUUUUUGAUGUGGCAUCCUGAGGAAUUUUUAGGCCUUUAAAUAUGAUAAGAGCUACUGAGUUAUUUCCCUCA
RNAcentral lists this long non-coding RNA (819 nucleotides) under Elaeis guineensis (African oil palm). RNAcentral's name for it is "long non-coding RNA (EGUI_LNC045953)". Lineage: Eukaryota; Viridiplantae; Streptophyta; Magnoliopsida; Arecales; Arecaceae. The record is from RNAcentral.